AUGUACACACCCGAACCAAAGGGCUAUGGUGACAGAGACCAAGAAAAGCAGAGAUGGGACUCUGCGGCGGCCACAGCGCAGACCAGACUUCGCUUGCUCGCAGCUCGCUCCGCGCCCUCCGCAACAAUGUCUGACAAGCCCAAUAUGGCUGAGAUUGAGAAGUUCGAUAAGUCAAAAUUGAAGAAAACGGAAACGUAAGAGAAAAACCCACUGCCUUCGAAAGAAACGAUUGAACAGGAGAAGCAAGCAGGCGAGUCGUAAUGAAGCGUGCGCCGCCAGUAUGCACUGUACAUUCCACAGGCAUUGCCUUCUUAUUUUACUUCUUUUAGCUGUUUAACUUUGUAAGAUGCAAAGAGGUUGGAUCGAGUUUAAAUGACUGUGCUACCCCUUUUCACAUCAAAGAAUGGAGAACUACUGACAACAUAGGCCGCGCCUGCCUCUCCCAUCUGCCUAUGUGGCUGGCAGGGAAGGAAAAGAACUUGCAUGUUGGUGAAGGAGGAAGCUGGGUGGGACGACAGUGAAAUCUAGAGUUAAAAAGCUGGUCCAAGGUGUUCUGCGGGCUGUAAAAUGCAGUUUAAUCAGAGUGCCAUUUUUUUUGUUGUUGUUCAAAUGGUUUUAAUUAUUGGAAUGCACAAUUUUUUUAAUAUGCAAAUAAAAAGUUUUAAAACCUGAAAAAAAAA
This is a non-coding RNA of Odocoileus virginianus texanus, 680 nucleotides long. Lineage: Eukaryota; Metazoa; Chordata; Mammalia; Artiodactyla; Cervidae. The record is from RefSeq and is a predicted model, not a curated record.